UGGGGAAUAUUGCGCAAUGGGCGAAAGCCUGACGCAGCGACGCCGCGUGAGGGAUGAAGGUCUUCGGAUCGUAAACCUCUGUCAGGAGGGAAGAACAAGCCGGGUGCUAAUCAGCCUGGCCCUGACGGUACCUCCAAAGGAAGCACCGGCUAACUCCGUGCCAGCAGCCGCGGUAAUACGGAGGGUGCAAGCGUUAAUCGGAAUUACUGGGCGUAAAGCGCUCGUAGGCUGUUUUGUAAGUCAGGGGUGAAAGCCCGCGGCUCAACCGCGGAAUUGCCUUUGAUACUGCGAUACUUGAGUCCGAGAGAGGAUGGCGGAAUUCCAGGUGUAGGAGUGAAAUCCGUAGAUAUCUGGAGGAACAUCAGUGGCGAAGGCGGCCAUCUGGAUCGGUACUGACGCUGAGGAGCGAAAGCGUGGGGAGCAAACA
Molecule: ribosomal RNA, 427 nt
Filed under: uncultured Desulfovibrio sp.
Lineage: Bacteria; Pseudomonadati; Thermodesulfobacteriota; Desulfovibrionia; Desulfovibrionales; Desulfovibrionaceae
Description: partial 16S ribosomal RNA
Rfam family: Bacterial small subunit ribosomal RNA
Source: RNAcentral